This 480-nucleotide ribosomal RNA is filed under the name uncultured bacterium. RNAcentral describes it as "bacterial SSU rRNA". It matches the Rfam family "Bacterial small subunit ribosomal RNA", at positions 774 to 1251 of the family's 1533-position model. The record is from RNAcentral.
AGUGAAUAGAUACCCGGGUAGUCCACGCUGUAAACGAUGGGUACUAGAUUUGGUGGGUCUUGACCCCCGCCGAAAUCGGCGCUAAACGCACUAAGUACCCCGCCUGGGAAGUACGGUCGCAAGACUAAAACUCAAAGGAAUUGACGGGGGCCCGCACAAGCGGUGGAUCAUGUGGUUUAAUUCGAAGCAACGCGAAGAACCUUACCUGGAUUUGACAUCCUCUGACAACCCUAGAGAUAGGGCUUCGUAGCAAUACGACAGAGAGACAGGUGCUGCAUGGCUGUCGUCAGCUCGUGUGGUGACAUGUUGGGUUAAGUCCCGCAACGAGCGCAACCCUUGUCCUUAGUUGCCAGCAUUAAGUUGGGCUCUCUAAGGAGACUGCCGUGGUUAACACGGAGGAAGGUGGGGAUGACGUCAAGUCCUCAUGGCCUUUAUAUCCAGGCGACACACGUGAUACAAUGGGUGGUACAGAGGGAAGCG